Molecule: ribosomal RNA, 232 nt
Filed under: uncultured bacterium
Lineage: Bacteria
Description: partial 16S ribosomal RNA
Rfam family: Bacterial small subunit ribosomal RNA
Source: RNAcentral
AGUAAUACUUGGGCAAUCUGCCCUUGAGAGGGAAACAACCUGCCGAAAGGCGGGCUAAUGUCCCAUAAGACCACAGGAAUGCAUAUUCCAGGGGUCAAAGCUCCGCAAGGGGCGCUUAAGGAGGAGCCCGAGUCCUAUCAUGGUUGUUGGUGAGGUAACGGCUCACCAAGCCUUCGACGGGUAGCCGGCCUGAAAGGGUGACCGGCCACACUGGCACUGAGACACGGGCCAG